GGGAAGAGAGGACACUCUCUUGGAGACACAUUCUGACUCUUGGACUGGACUCAAGACUCCCACUCUCAAACUCUCUGGGAUUCAUACGGACACUCUCAAAGACUCUUAAACUCACUCAAACUCACACCUAACAUCUAAGGUCUGACAUCUGGAGCCAAAGCUGGACACACCUAAUUCUUAGUAUCUUUCCCAACUAACACAACUUCAGAACUGAAAAACUUUUCUAUUUUCAUACAAUUCUCUCAUCAUACUUGCACUCAAAAUUCCUGAGACACAUCUACACGACUGAUAGAAAAUCUACAACAUAACUGGUAAUUAUGUUGGUUUUAUUUAAUUAAAUUAAUUGAUUUUAUUAAAAG
This is a non-coding RNA of Pelobates cultripes (western spadefoot toad), 359 nucleotides long. NCBI's taxonomy places the organism in Eukaryota, Metazoa, Chordata, Amphibia, Anura, Pelobatidae. The record is from the annotation of a GenBank genome assembly.